This 499-nucleotide ribosomal RNA is filed under the name Helle longirostris. Its description in RNAcentral is "partial 16S ribosomal RNA". Lineage: Eukaryota; Metazoa; Arthropoda; Insecta; Diptera; Acroceridae. The record is from RNAcentral.
CAAAAACAUGUCUUAUUGAUUUAUAUUAAGUCAGGCCUGCCCAAUGAAUUUUAUUGAAUGGCUGCAGUAUUUUAACUGUACAAAGGUAGCAUAAUAAUUAGUUUUUUAAUUGAGGACUAGAAUGAAAGGUUUUAUGAAAUAUUAACUUUAUUAUAUUAAUUAAUAUAAUUUUAUUUUUUAGUAAAAAAGCUAAAAUAUUUAUAGUAGACGAGAAGACCCUAUAGAUUUUAAUAAUUAUAUUUAUUAAAUUUAUUAAGAAUUUAAAUUAUAAAUUAGAUAGAAUUAUUUUAUUGGGGCGAUAGUAAAAUUUAUUUAAUUUUUAUAUAAAUAUUUAAACAUUAAUUUAUGAGUUAUUGAUCCAUUAUUGAUGAUUAAUAAAUUAAAUUACCUUAGGGAUAACAGCAUAAUUUAUUUGGAAAGUUCGUAUUAAUAGAUGAGAUUAUGACCUCGAUGUUGAAUUAAGAUAAAUUUUAGGAGCAGAAAUUUAAUAAUUAAGGUC